Molecule: ribosomal RNA, 529 nt
Filed under: uncultured bacterium
Lineage: Bacteria
Description: bacterial SSU rRNA
Rfam family: Bacterial small subunit ribosomal RNA
Source: RNAcentral
UUGACAUACUAAGAACUUUCCAGAGAUGGAUUGGUGCCUUCGGGAACUUAGAUACAGGUGCUGCAUGGCUGUCGUCAGCUCGUGUCGUGAGAUGUUGGGUUAAGUCCCGCAACGAGCGCAGCCCUUUUCCUUAUUUGCCAGCGGGUCAUGCCGGGAACUUUAAGGAUACUGCCAGUGACAAACUGGAGGAAGGCGGGGACGACGUCAAGUCAUCAUGGCCCUUACGGCCAGGGCUACACACGUGCUACAAUGGUCGGUACAAAGGGUUGCUACCUCGCGAGAGGAUGCUAAUCUCAAAAAGCCGAUCGUAGUCCGGAUCGCAGUCUGCAACUCGACUGCGUGAAGUCGGAAUCGCUAGUAAUCGCGGAUCAGAAUGCCGCGGUGAAUACGUUCCCGGGCCUUGUACACACCGCCCGUCACACCAUGGGAGUUUGUUGCACCAGAAGUAGGUAGUCUAACCGCAAGGAGGACGCUUACCACGGUGUGGCCGAUGACUGGGGUGAAGUCGUAACAAGGUAAGCGUAGAUGA